AACUAGAACUUCCUCAGGGACCGCACAAUAAAAAGUAACAUACAAUAUCACAAAUUGUAAAAUAAUGCAUCCAAAAUGCAUUCUUUUACAAUUUGUGAUAUUGUAUGUUACUUUUUAUUGUGCGGUCCCUGAGGAAGUUCUAGU
Non-coding RNA from Pelobates cultripes (western spadefoot toad), 144 nucleotides. NCBI's taxonomy places the organism in Eukaryota, Metazoa, Chordata, Amphibia, Anura, Pelobatidae. The record is from the annotation of a GenBank genome assembly.